Long non-coding RNA from Nicotiana attenuata, 72 nucleotides. RefSeq lists it as uncharacterized. The transcript has 2 exons. Lineage: Eukaryota; Viridiplantae; Streptophyta; Magnoliopsida; Solanales; Solanaceae. The record is from RefSeq and is a predicted model, not a curated record.
GUUGAGUUAAGAAACAAUUGUGGAGUAAAUCCUAAGAUGAUUCAAAAGCUGUCAACGAGGAUGCCUAGCUUA